Molecule: ribosomal RNA, 262 nt
Filed under: uncultured bacterium
Lineage: Bacteria
Description: partial 16S ribosomal RNA
Rfam family: Bacterial small subunit ribosomal RNA
Source: RNAcentral
UACAGAGGGUCCCAAGCAGUUGUUCGGAUUCACUGGGCGUAAAGGGUGCGUAGGUGGUCGGGUAAGUCUGAUGUGAAAGACUCUGGGCUCAACCCAGAAAAUGGCAUUGGAUACUAUCUGGCUAGAGGAAUGGAGGGGGAGCUGGAAUACUUGGUGUAGCAGUAGAAAUGCGUAGAGUAUCAAGUGGAACACCGUGGCGGAAGGCGAGUCCCUGGACAUUUCCUGACAGCUGAGGCAACGAAAGGCUAGGGGAGCAAACAGG